Molecule: non-coding RNA, 413 nt
Organism: Pelodiscus sinensis (Chinese soft-shelled turtle)
Lineage: Eukaryota; Metazoa; Chordata; Testudines; Trionychidae
Source: the annotation of a RefSeq genome assembly
CACCUUUCCAACUCCAUUGUGGCAGAAUGAGCUCACACACAUCUCUUCUCUGGCUGUUGGCGCUCUGGAUUCAGGGCUGCCUUGGACAAGUUGUGCUGACUCAGACCCCGGAAUCUCUCUCAGUGCCAGUGGGAGAGAGAGUCUCAAUCAACUGCAAAGCCAGCACAAGCAUUGGCACUUGCCUAAACUGGUACCAACAGAAACCUGGACAAGCUCCCAAACUUCUUAUCUACUAUGCCAGCAGCCUGCAGUCAGGGGUCCCAGCCCGGUUCAGCGGCAGUGGAUAUGGCACUGAUUUUACACUCACGAUCAACAGUGUCGAAGCUGAUGAUGCUGGAGACUAUUACUGUCAGCAGAGUAACAAGCUCCCUCUCACAGUGAUACAGACCAGUACAAAAACUAAGCACAUCUGA